UCGCUGCAGCAGCACACACACUAAAACCGGAACGAUACAGAGAAGAUGAGCGUGGCCCCUGUGCAAGGGUGACAGGCAAAACAUAGUUGCACAAAAGACUGAU
Small nuclear RNA from Heterocephalus glaber (naked mole-rat), 103 nucleotides. Lineage: Eukaryota; Metazoa; Chordata; Mammalia; Rodentia; Bathyergidae. The record is from Ensembl.